AAAAAUCUGGAAGGAUUAGAGAGAUAAGAAUCUGAAAACACAAAUGGCUGCAAAUCUAUCGUUUCCUUGGAUUUUCUUAGUGAUUUUCCAGCUUUCUGUUGAUUCACUAAUAUAGUUUUGAGUGGUCUUCAAUCUUUCAGUCCCAAAAUGCCACAAGAACACUAUUUUUCUUUGAUGCCAGUUUUAUAUUAGCUUUCUACAUUCAAACACACAAAAUAAAAAAAAUAUGUAUUCAGAAUAAGAAAAACCAAAAAAAAUGGUCAAACUCAAAAACAAACACUGCUUCAUUUGAUUUUCUGUCUGAAUUUUAGUUUAGGUAACUAAAUCACAUUCCGGAAAUUCAUUUUGGCUUUUUGAAGAUCAAGGGAAAUUUCUGUUGGGUUUCUAGUAAUCUGGGUUUCAUUUGAUCUGUCCUGGUCCAUCCUAUUGGGUUUUGUGAUUGCUAAAGUUGUCUCUGAGGUGCAUUGUGGUGAUUGUUUUGUGGUCAUUAUUGUUGUUGGUUUUCCUACGAUUUCCUGGAUUUAUAAACUAUUUCUGGGCUGAUGAAGUUGAGGUUGGUUGUGGUUCAUCGCUGCUUGUUGUUGUUGUUGUUUGUGCACUGCUACCUACUGUUGAUUUUUCCCCUUCUUUGUUCUUCAAUUUCCAGGUACACCCUUUUGUAACUUUGUUGGUCAUGAAGCUCGAAGUUGAAAGCAUGAACUGAUAUGAAGAUUUGAUCUGCUCUACGAUAUAUUUGUACAACAUUACUCAAUAUUAUCAUGUUGGCUGUUAAAAAUAAUUUGAAUUCCUAGCCUGCUCUGUAAUUUUGUUCAUGUGAAUUAAGUUCCUCAAGUGUUAUUUUCUUGCAAGAAUAGCUCAUUGCUGUAGUUUUGUCUCGUUCAAAUGAUGGUUCAUGUGUAAGGUGACCUCAAAGUUGGUGAACUUGUGAAUAUGGCCACUUGCUGUUUAAAGCUCAAGUUCUUUUUAAUUGGUUUGAAGAUGGAAUUGGCCAUUACAUGGCCUGGGUAAUUGAUAACAGCUAUUGGUUUAAUCAAAGAGAUUCUGUUGAGGACCUUAGCAUGUGAAAUUUUGUUUUUUCUUGGUCACAAUUAAAACGAAUCCGUGUAGUAGCGGGGAAUAUGAAUCAUGACUACUAUCAUAUUGUCCUUGAUUUUGAGAAACUGCAAAUCCAACUGUCGGUCGG
RNAcentral lists this long non-coding RNA (1183 nucleotides) under Nicotiana benthamiana. RNAcentral's name for it is "long non-coding RNA (NBEN_LNC014271)". Lineage: Eukaryota; Viridiplantae; Streptophyta; Magnoliopsida; Solanales; Solanaceae. The record is from RNAcentral.